Molecule: ribosomal RNA, 743 nt
Filed under: uncultured bacterium
Lineage: Bacteria
Description: bacterial SSU rRNA
Rfam family: Bacterial small subunit ribosomal RNA
Source: RNAcentral
AGAGUUUGAUCAUGGCUCAGAACGAACGCUGGCGGCAGGCCUAACACAUGCAAGUCGAACGCUGUAGCAAUACAGAGUGGCAGACGGGUGAGUAACGCGUGGGAACCUACCCUAUGGUACGGAAUAACUUCGGGAAACCGAAGCUAAUACCGUAUACCUCCUCCGGGAGAAAGAUUUAUCGCCAUGGGAUGGGCCCGCGUUGGAUUAGCUAGUUGGUGAGGUAAUGGCUCACCAAGGCAACGAUCCAUAGCUGGUCUGAGAGGAUGAUCAGCCACACUGGGACUGAGACACGGCCCAGACUCCUACGGGAGGCAGCAGUGGGGAAUAUUGGACAAUGGGCGCAAGCCUGAUCCAGCCAUGCCGCGUGAGUGAAGAAGGCCUUAGGGUUGUAAAGCUCUUUUGGCGGGGACGAUAAUGACGGUACCCGCAGAAUAAGCCCCGGCUAACUUCGUGCCAGCAGCCGCGGUAAUACGAAGGGGGCUAGCGUUGUUCGGAAUUACUGGGCGUAAAGCGCACGCAGGCGGAUUGAUAAGUCAGGGGUGAAAUCCCGGGGCUCAACCUCGGAAUUGCCUUUGAUACUGUCUGUCUUCGAGUUCGGGAGAGGUUGGCGGAAUUCCUAGUGUAGAGGUGAAAUUCGUAGAUAUUAGGAAGAACACCAGUGGCGAAGGCGGCCAACUGGCCCGAAACUGACGCUCAUGUGCGAAAGCGUGGGGAGCAAACAGGAUUAGAUACCCUAGUAGUCC